AGAGUUUGAUCCUGGCUCAGAACGAACGCUGGCGGCAGGCUUAACACAUGCAAGUCGAACGCCCCGCAAGGGGAGUGGCAGACGGGUGAGUAACGCGUGGGAAUCUACCUUGUUCUACGGAACAACUGAGGGAAACUUCAGCUAAUACCGUAUACGCCCUAUGGGGGAAAGAUUUAUCGGAAUAAGAUGAGCCCGCGUAAGAUUAGCUAGUUGGUGGGGUAAUGGCCUACCAAGGCGACGAUCUUUAGCUGGUCUGAGAGGAUGAUCAGCCACACUGGGACUGAGACACGGCCCAGACUCCUACGGGAGGCAGCAGUGGGGAAUAUUGGACAAUGGGCGCAAGCCUGAUCCAGCCAUGCCGCGUGAGUGAUGAAGGCCUUAGGGUUGUAAAGCUCUUUCAGUGGGGAAGAUAAUGACGGUACCCACAGAAGAAGCCCCGGCUAACUUCGUGCCAGCAGCCGCGGUAAUACGAAGGGGGCUAGCGUUGUUCGGAUUUACUGGGCGUAAAGCGCACGUAGGCGGAUCGUUAAGUCAGGGGUGAAAUCCUGGAGCUCAACUCCAGAACUGCCUUUGAUACUGGCGAUCUCGAGUCCGGAAGAGGUGAGUGGAACUCCUAGUGUAGAGGUGGAAUUCGUAGAUAUUAGGAAGAACACCAGUGGCGAAGGCGGCUCACUGGUCCGGUACUGACGCUGAGGAGCGAAAGCGUGGGGAGCGAACAGGAUUAGAUACCCUAGUAGUCC
RNAcentral lists this ribosomal RNA (740 nucleotides) under uncultured bacterium. RNAcentral's name for it is "bacterial SSU rRNA". It matches the Rfam family "Bacterial small subunit ribosomal RNA", at positions 8 to 796 of the family's 1533-position model. The record is from RNAcentral.